GGUUCAGUGUGGUUAUUGAAGUGAAGUCUGGAAGGAACUGAAACUCAGCUAUUCGUAAAUUUUACAACUUGUGGUUUGCUAUGUUGUGUGUACUAUAUUGUGGUACACAGUGGUAUGUUGUACUACACAUAUUGGAUGUAAUCAAAAUUGUUUGGAAGGCCAGAGGAGUUGUCCCUUGCUAUGUACAUUGCCCCACCUGCCAAAUGCCCUGUUUCUAUCAUAAAGCCUAUAAGUGUCCUUUGAACUAGUGUAUUUGGGCUACGUUCUGAAGGAGUGAUAUGCAAGUGAUCCCCUAAUUGCUUGUAAGGGAACUUUCGGAAAAGAUUUAAGGAUCCAGAGGGUUUCGUAUGCAGCAAAUGAAAUGUGUUUUGUCAAACGUUAGAAGUAGAGAGGCUAAGACUCCUUCAAGAGUUGGAGAUAUUUGUGACAAAGGAAAAUAAGCAGCUGUGUAAAAUGAGGGAAGAUGGAAGUAUUAAUCUGUAGUCCCACGGGUGCAGUGGCUUGUGGAGAUAUUGGCCGCACAUUCACUCCUGGUGGUUGUUUACGAGGAGAAACCUCAUGCGCUAAGAGUACACAUCUAUUUGGCCCCACAUACGUCAUAAACUCACGCACGAGGACUUAAGUUUAGUUGUCUUAAGUGAUUAGCUUCGACAUUGAGAAACUGGAUAUGACGAAAAAUUGAAAGGAACAAGACUACGUACCAACAAGUUGAGGAUAUCUCGAAACAAGUUAUGACUGAAAAUGGAGACAAUUUCAAUAAGUUCAAUCUCAUCCAGUGUACGUUCUAUGAAAAGGAAAGUAUCCAGAUUUGUGUUCAAAGUCUAAUAGUUUACCUGUCAGAUUUACUUCAAUCACACUUAGAGGUAUCAGACAAAUCUACUGUUAGGUUAUGUAAAUCUAGUAGGUGAACGCUUUUUACUAGAUAAGUUUUUUUUUUCAAGGAAUGUAACUUUGAGAGGGAUUUAAUAUUUUCAGUCAUAUCAUCAUUAUGCAACAGCAUUUCAUUUCAUUCAUGCAGUAUAAUUUUUAAUGUGUACUAUUAAAUAAAAAGAAAGCACUUU
Macrobrachium nipponense is the source of this 1061-nucleotide long non-coding RNA. RefSeq lists it as uncharacterized. The transcript is spliced from 4 exons. The record is from RefSeq and is a predicted model, not a curated record. NCBI's taxonomy places the organism in Eukaryota, Metazoa, Arthropoda, Malacostraca, Decapoda, Palaemonidae.